RNAcentral lists this ribosomal RNA (491 nucleotides) under uncultured bacterium. RNAcentral's name for it is "partial 16S ribosomal RNA". It matches the Rfam family "Bacterial small subunit ribosomal RNA", at positions 29 to 506 of the family's 1533-position model. The record is from RNAcentral.
AGUGAGCGCUGGCGGUAGGCCUAACACAUGCAAGUCGAACGGCAGCACAGUAAGAGCUUGCUCUUACGGGUGGCGAGUGGCGGACGGGUGAGGAAUACAUCGGAAUCUACUUUUUCGUGGGGGAUAACGUAGGGAAACUUACGCUAAUACCGCAUACGACCUACGGGUGAAAGCAGGGGAUCUUCGGACCUUGCGCGGUUGAAUGAGCCGAUGUCGGAUUAGCUAGUUGGCGGGGUAAAGGCCCACCAAGGCGACGAUCCGUAGCUGGUCUGAGAGGAUGAUCAGCCACACUGGAACUGAGACACGGUCCAGACUCCUACGGGAGGCAGCAGUGGGGAAUAUUGGACAAUGGGCGCAAGCCUGAUCCAGCCAUACCGCGUGGGUGAAGAAGGCCUUCGGGUUGUAAAGCCCUUUUGUUGGGAAAGAAAAGCAGCAGGUUAAUACCCCGCUGUUCUGACGGUACCCAAAGAAUAAGCACCGGCUAACUUCGU